GGUAGUCUCUUUAUUAAGACAAACUGGUCCACUGGGUGAAUUGUCUGAAAUGAUUUACAUGUUGGAUCUUUCCUCCAUACCUUAUGUCUACCUAAUCAAAGCUCAAAGCAUGUGUACAUUUUAACCAGUCCAUUAUGGAUACUUAGGAGAAGCAAACAUGAAGUUGUACCAGAAAACAUGGAUGGUGGUGAGUCAGAUGACAAUGAUGACGAUGAGAAAGACAGGGAUGAGGAUGGAGAUGAUCAAGAAGAUGACGGAGGCAAAGAUCUCUCGGGGAGGAGAAUGAUGGCAAAGGAGAUGAAGAUGAUGAUGACCCUGAGGCCAAUUAUGGAGGAGGAAGCGAAGAGGAGGAUUAUGAAGAUGAUGAUGGGGACGAGGAUCAAGAAGAGGAAGGGGAAGAGGAAGAUGAAGAAGAUGAGAAUGAUGAAGAGGACAAGGAACUACCACAGCCAGCUACCAAGAAGAGGAAGUGAGGCAGGGGGUGUGGGUCGUGUGGCAUCUGGUCCUCGAGAGUUUGUUUCAUUUUGGUCACUGUUGGUUAGACAAUAGCAUUAAGGUGGAGUUUAGUUUCUGGCUGGGAGUGGGUCCUCAUCGAUUAUUAGGCAAAGAGGGAUAACUUGCCGUCAGUGAACAUGAUACUUAAAUGUUCUUCAUUGUAUAUGUUCAAGGCUACUUCUUGUGCUCAGUGCUACUCUAUACCCUUAACCUGGAGGCCAAGUAUAAUCCUAGUUGCUUGUCUUUUCAUUUUUGCGAGAA
This is a long non-coding RNA of Musa acuminata AAA Group (dessert banana), 756 nucleotides long. RefSeq lists it as uncharacterized. The transcript has 2 exons. NCBI's taxonomy places the organism in Eukaryota, Viridiplantae, Streptophyta, Magnoliopsida, Zingiberales, Musaceae. The record is from RefSeq and is a predicted model, not a curated record.